CCGCGGUAAUACGUAGGGCGCAAGCGUUAUCCGGAAUUAUUGGGCGUAAAGAGCUCGUAGGCGGUUUGUCGCGUCUGCUGUGAAAUCCCGAGGCUCAACCUCGGGCCCUGCAGUGGGUACGGGCAGACUAGAGUGCGGUAGGGGAGAUUGGAAUUCCUGGUGUAGCGGUGGAAUGCGCAGAUAUCAGGAGGAACACCGAUGGCGAAGGCAGAUCUCUGGGCCGUAACUGACGCUGAGGAGCGAAAGGGUGGGGAGCAAACAGGCUUAGAUACCCUGGUAGUCCACCCCGUAAACGUUGGGAACUAGUUGUGGGGACCAUUCCACGGUUUCCGUGACGCAGCUAACGCAUUAAGUUCCCCGCCUGGGGAGUACGGCCGCAAGGCUAAAACUCAAAGGAAUUGACGGGGACCCGCACAAGCGGCGGAGCAUGCGGAUUAAUUCGAUGCAACGCGAAGAACCUUACCAAGGCUUGACAUAUACGAGAACGGGCCAGAAAUGGUCAACUCUUUGGACACUCGUAAACAGGUGGUGCAUGGUUGUCGUCAGCUCGUGUCGUGAGAUGUUGGGUUAAGUCCCGCAACGAGCGCAACCCUCGUUCUAUGUUGCCAGCACGUAAUGGUGGGAACUCAUGGGAUACUGCCGGGGUCAACUCGGAGGAAGGUGGGGAUGACGUCAAAUCAUCAUGCCCCUUAUGUCUUGGGCUUCACGCAUGCUACAAUGGCCGGUACAAAGGGCUGCAAUACCGUAAGGUGGAGCGAAUCCCAAAAAGCCGGUCCCAGUUCGGAUUGAGGUCUGCAACUCGACCUCAUGAAGUCGGAGUCGCUAGUAAUCGCAGAUCAGCAACGCUGCGGUGAAUACGUUCCCGGGUCUUGUACACACCGCCCGUCAAGUCAUGAAAGUCGGUAACACCUGAAGCCGGUGGCCCAACCCUUGUGGAGGGAGCCGUCGAAGGUGGGAUCGGUAAUUAGGACUAAGU
This 976-nucleotide ribosomal RNA is filed under the name Microbacterium testaceum. RNAcentral describes it as "bacterial SSU rRNA". It matches the Rfam family "Bacterial small subunit ribosomal RNA", at positions 515 to 1486 of the family's 1533-position model. Lineage: Bacteria; Bacillati; Actinomycetota; Actinomycetes; Micrococcales; Microbacteriaceae. The record is from RNAcentral.